CCUACGGGGGGCAGCAGUGGGGAAUAUUGGACAAUGGGGGAAACCCUGAUCCAGCGACGCCGCGUGAGUGAAGAAGUAUUUCGGUACGUAAAGCUCUAUCAGCAGGAAAGAAAAUGACGGUACUUGACUAAGAAGCACCGGCUAACUACGUGCCAGCAGCCGCGGUAAUACGUAGGGGGCAAGCGUUAUCCGGAUUUACUGGGUGGAAAGGGAGCGUAGACGGCAGCGCAAGUCUGAAGGGAAAUGACGGGGCGCAACCCCGGACCUGCUCUGGAAACUGUGUAGCUGGAGUGCAGGAGAGGUAAGCGGAAUUCCUGGUGUAGCGGUGAAAUGCGUAGAUAUCCGGAGGAACACCAGCGGCGAAGGCGGCUUGCUGGACUGUAACUGACGUUGAGGCUCGAAGGCGUGGGGAGCAAACAGGAUUAGAUACCCGUGUAGUC
RNAcentral lists this ribosomal RNA (440 nucleotides) under uncultured bacterium. RNAcentral's name for it is "partial 16S ribosomal RNA". It matches the Rfam family "Bacterial small subunit ribosomal RNA", at positions 338 to 795 of the family's 1533-position model. The record is from RNAcentral.